GUAGAUUGCCUUCCCAUGGCAAACUCCAGCAAAAAGGGGAAAGCACGCAGGACUCCUCCGAAGUGGUUUGGCCAGGCGAAACGACACUUCCAGGAAUUCGGUCUGAAGCAAAACCCAAAGUAUCCUGUAGGUAAACCGGAUGCGUACGCCCCGAAGGAGACCAAGCUUGGAAAACUCGUCCCUCGCCUAGGGUCCGGCAGCCAGUUGGAGAACCGCUCCGUAUGGUGGUUCGCACCGAAUGUAAUCAUGCCAGUACUCGACACCCUGGAGGGUGAGGCAACCAAUCAUUGGGGACUCUCCAUGGUUGGGUGAAGCCGUCCGCCACACGAGUGUCUCGUCCCGCAUACAUUCUGUCACAAAUGACGAAUACUUGUCCAGAAGCUAUAGAUAGCGAUCCUAUGUGAGAUCCGACUGCAGUCCAUAGUGGGCAACCGGUGAGAAGUCCAUGCCGGAAGGUAGCGAGCAAUACUGUGAAUGUUGAACAAACCUGCAGGUAGUUCCAUGCAGUUGACGAGUCAUCAAUCAAGUUUUAAUUGAGCUUCAUCCGAAGGUCACAUGAUUUGGUCAUACCAGGCCGAAGACACGAGAAAGCGCCAUGUUGAAGCAGCUGGUAGUACCGGAUCCUGGAGGUAUGGCUUCCAUGGCGAAUAGGCACCGGUCAAUUAACCGGGUUGGGCCCCUAAGUGUAACCCGCGGGUUGCGGAGCAUAUACCUGGAUCUUGGUCCUCGGGACCGAAUAUUCCAUGAAAGACCGGAAGCUGGAUUGACUGGGAGUGAGUCAGAUUCAAUAUGUCCACGUUGAUGGCAAAAUCCAUGCGGGUUUCUCUCAUGUGCAUUUGAGGGAGAGAACCAAUCGUCAACGCCGAGCAGCUCUUAGAGGGGAUGAGUGCCCUCCGUCUCAAAAUGUGUCAACAGACGACAUUUGCACUGGGAGCAUGUAGCGUGGGGAUGGGGCGGGAGUCCACUCCACCGCACCCUUUGCCCAGCAGGGCAACUGCAGAAUGAGUCGGAAUGGAUGCCUCUUUUGGUCAUGCGUAUCGCUCAUGGAACGGUCCAAGGUUCCGCAACCUUGAUCUGGAGUCCGGGCACGGUCCGAGAGACCUCUGGGGCUAGUUAAGGGGGAACCCUAUGAAUAGAGACGUGUCAGCUCAAUUUGUACACGAGGGUAACUCCGGAGAGCAGACCCAGCACUUGGAUGCUUAAUCCAUCAGUUUGAUGUCCAGCUUGGACAGGGGCCGUUUUGCGGUUCUCAGGGGUAGAAACCAACUAGGCGAUACCUAUAAGUCAUAUCGGUCCAUUCCCAGUGGGAAUUUAGUCUUCUCUGCUUUCCAAGUGGUAACGCGCCGUUCGUCACGAGGAAACAUCUGUGUCCGCGUGUCACCGACAUCCACUGGUUAGUCCGAGACAGAGUGCAAACCCCGUGUCAGGUGUUUGCGGUGUCCUUUCCGGACUCCGUCAUGAAGACUGAUCCUCUUGAUGAAUCCAUCCGUUAGCCAACGAGUACCAGGGGUGCUUGGUGUAGCAUCUAGGAUGGCUGGUGGAGUGUCCCCGUAGGGUACCGAUGGUUUCUGACAGUGAGGUCAGCGGGGCGGCAAGAGGACAGGCCAAGUGACCUUCUGGGUACGGGAGAUUUGUCCUUUAGCCGUGAUUGCACAACUGCCAUAGAGGUAACACUGUCGAAAUGAUACCUGGUGCGGCCAGCUAGGGUCACCCAGCGUGCAAGAGGGGGUCACCCAACAAGCACAAGCAUACCAUGCAGUAUAGGCCAGCAGGGGAGGGGGUCACCCUCAGUCUGAACAUAAUCGGAUACUGUAGGUACAGUGGUGCGGCCAGCUGGGGGUCACCCAGCGUGCAAGAGGGGGUCACCUAACAAGCACAAGCAUACCAUGCAGUAUAGGCCAGCAGGGGAGGGGGUCACCCUCAG
Pelobates cultripes (western spadefoot toad) is the source of this 1924-nucleotide non-coding RNA. NCBI's taxonomy places the organism in Eukaryota, Metazoa, Chordata, Amphibia, Anura, Pelobatidae. The record is from the annotation of a GenBank genome assembly.